CUCCUCUCAGGGUCGAACCUGGAGAGUUUCCAGUACUCUACUAGUCUCGGCUACAGGAGGGAGAGUCGAGCAGAGGCCUAUCCAUUCCAUUCUUAGCUUUGGCAGUGGCUAGUGAGUGGAAGGCUGUCUGCUAUAAGU
Small nucleolar RNA from Ornithorhynchus anatinus (platypus), 138 nucleotides. The record is from RefSeq and is a predicted model, not a curated record. Lineage: Eukaryota; Metazoa; Chordata; Mammalia; Monotremata; Ornithorhynchidae.